RNAcentral lists this ribosomal RNA (440 nucleotides) under uncultured bacterium. Its description in RNAcentral is "partial 16S ribosomal RNA". It matches the Rfam family "Bacterial small subunit ribosomal RNA", at positions 338 to 795 of the family's 1533-position model. The record is from RNAcentral.
CCUACGGGUGGCUGCAGUGGGGAAUAUUGGACAAUGGGCGCAACCCUGAAGCAGCAACGCCGCGUGAAGGAUGAAGGUUUUAGGGUUGUAAACUUCUUUUGUUAGCGAAGAUUAUGACGGUAUCUAACGAUUAUGCACCGGCUAACUCCGUGCCAGCAGCCGCGGUAAUAUGGAGGGUGCAAGCGUUACUCGGAAUCACUGGGCGUAAAGAGUGCGUAGGCGGGGUAAUAAGUCAGAUGUGAAAUCCUGUAGCUUAACUACAGAACUGCAUUUGAAACUGUUACUCUGGAGUGUGGGAGAGGUAGGUGGAAUUCGUGGUGUAGCGGUAAAAGGCGUAGAGAUCAAGAAGAAUACGCAUUGCGAAGGCGACCUGCUGGAACAUUACUGACGGUGAUGCACGAAAGCGUGGGGAGCAAACAGGAUUAGAUACCCGUGUAGUC